CAGGGGUGGUGGCUUGAGCAUGGCGGGCUGCAGGUCUGGAGCCCUGCCCCAUAGGUAGGCGGCGGAGGCCCCGCGAGAAUUCCAGCGUAUUGUGGGCGGGCCCACACUGCGGGAGAGACCCAGCGCACUCUCCGCAGCUGCUGGCCCGAGUGCUGAGCCCCUCACUGCUGGGGCCGGCGGCGCUGCCGGCCACUCGGAGUGCGGGGCCUGCUGAGCCCGCGCCCACCCAGAACUCGCUGGCCUGCGAGUGCAGCGCGCAGCCCCUGUUCCCGCCCGCGCGUCUCCCUCCACAUCUCCGGGCAAGCAAAGGGAGCCGGCUCCAGCCUCGGCCAGCCCAGAGAGUGCCUCCCACAGUGCAGCGGCGGGCUGAAGGGCUGGCUUCUCAAGCGUGGCCAGAGUGGACGCCGAGGCUGAGGAGGCGCCCAGAGUGAGCAAGGGCUGAUAGCACGUUGUCACCUCAAUACCACAGAAAUUGAAAACAGAGAUAAAAGGAGACUACUGUAUAUCAGUUCAAGGCCAAGUGACAACCUUCUAAGAAAAACUCACAGAACUGGAAUUUGGAAGGCAAGUUAUGGUAUCUCAAACGUGUGAGUAAAAACAAACUAAAAAUGAGAACCUAACAAACUAAGUAGUAGUAGAACAAAAGCAGGGGAUUGAGAGUAAGCUCCGCUGUAGACUUUGCUUCACUGUAGGUGGGUUUUGCGUGAGCCGGAUCCAUCUCACCUUGAAAUGGAUCCAGCCUAAGAGUGCUAUGCAAAUAACCAAGGUGACUGAGCCUGGGAGUCUAUAAGUGGGUUUAAUAAGCUGCCAUCUGGGGAACUGCAGUUGGGGUCCAGCAUAUGGUCUAGGGAAAUGCUAAG
This 860-nucleotide long non-coding RNA is filed under the name Homo sapiens (human). RNAcentral's name for it is "HSALNT0232057". Lineage: Eukaryota; Metazoa; Chordata; Mammalia; Primates; Hominidae. The record is from RNAcentral.